This 316-nucleotide ribosomal RNA is filed under the name uncultured Clostridia bacterium. Its description in RNAcentral is "bacterial SSU rRNA". It matches the Rfam family "Bacterial small subunit ribosomal RNA", at positions 28 to 339 of the family's 1533-position model. The record is from RNAcentral. Lineage: Bacteria; Bacillati; Bacillota; Clostridia.
GAUGAACGCUGGCGGCGUGCCUAACACAUGCAAGUCGAACGAGAGAGGAAGGUGCUUGCACCGACCAAUCGAGUGGCGGACGGGUGAGUAACGCGUGGGUAACCUGCCUCAUACAGGGGGAUAACAACUGGAAACGGUUGAUAAUACCGCAUAAGCGCACAGCAUCGCAUGAUGCAGUGUGAAAAACUCCGGUGGUAUGAGAUGGACCCGCGUCUGAUUAGCCAGUUGGCGGGGUAACGGCCCACCAAAGCGACGAUCAGUAGCCGGCCUGAGAGGGUGAACGGCCACAUUGGGACUGAGACACGGCCCAAACUCC